Molecule: small RNA, 128 nt
Filed under: Yersinia enterocolitica
Lineage: Bacteria; Pseudomonadati; Pseudomonadota; Gammaproteobacteria; Enterobacterales; Yersiniaceae
Also listed under: 3 other names
Description: RtT sRNA
Rfam family: RtT RNA
About the family: This family represents a bacterial cis-regulatory element known as RtT RNA.
Source: RNAcentral
AUAGCACCCAUCAGGGGAAGGUAAGAACCUUCGACCAAGGUUCGCGCCGAGCGAAGCGAGACCGCGACGCAAUGCGGCGACCCGCAGGGUGAGGAACAACGUGACGGAUAAUCCUUCCCCCACCACCU